This 679-nucleotide ribosomal RNA is filed under the name uncultured bacterium. Its description in RNAcentral is "bacterial SSU rRNA". It matches the Rfam family "Bacterial small subunit ribosomal RNA", at positions 52 to 725 of the family's 1533-position model. The record is from RNAcentral.
UACCAUGCAGUCGAGCGGAGAUGAGGUGCUUGCACCUUAUCUUAGCGGCGGACGGGUGAGUAAUGCUUAGGAAUCUGCCUAUUAGUGGGGGACAACAUUCCGAAAGGAAUGCUAAUACCGCAUACGUCCUACGGGAGAAAGCAGGGGAUCUUCGGACCUUGCGCUAAUAGAUGAGCCUAAGUCGGAUUAGCUAGUUGGUGGGGUAAAGGCCUACCAAGGCGACGAUCUGUAGCGGGUCUGAGAGGAUGAUCCGCCACACUGGGACUGAGACACGGCCCAGACUCCUACGGGAGGCAGCAGUGGGGAAUAUUGGACAAUGGGGGGAACCCUGAUCCAGCCAUGCCGCGUGUGUGAAGAAGGCCUUAUGGUUGUAAAGCACUUUAAGCGAGGAGGAGGCUACUGAGACUAAUACUCUUGGAUAGUGGACGUUACUCGCAGAAUAAGCACCGGCUAACUCUGUGCCAGCAGCCGCGGUAAUACAGAGGGUGCGAGCGUUAAUCGGAUUUACUGGGCGUAAAGCGUGCGUAGGCGGCUUUUUAAGUCGGAUGUGAAAUCCCCGAGCUUAACUUGGGAAUUGCAUUCGAUACUGGGAAGCUAGAGUAUGGGAGAGGAUGGUAGAAUUCCAGGUGUAGCGGUGAAAUGCGUAGAGAUCUGGAGGAAUACCGAUGGCGAAGGCAGC